RNAcentral lists this small nuclear RNA (107 nucleotides) under Sorex araneus (European shrew). Lineage: Eukaryota; Metazoa; Chordata; Mammalia; Eulipotyphla; Soricidae. The record is from RNAcentral.
GUGCUUGCUUUGGCAGCACAUACACUAAAAUUGGAAUGAUACAGAGAAGAUUAGCAUGGCCCCUGUGCAAGGAUGAUAUGCAAAUUCGUGAAGCGUUCCAUAUUUUU